Molecule: long non-coding RNA, 386 nt
Organism: Dalotia coriaria
Lineage: Eukaryota; Metazoa; Arthropoda; Insecta; Coleoptera; Staphylinidae
Exons: 7
Source: RefSeq, a predicted model, not a curated record
UUGCUUGUUUUAGGGAUUUUGCAUCUGAGUCUGACAUCGUAGAAGGACCAUUCUAGUAUCAGAUUGGAUUUUGCACCUGAGUCUGACAUCGUAGAAGGACCAUUCUGGUAUCAGAUUGAAAGGAUUUUGCACCUGAAUAUGACAUCGUAGAAGGACCAUUCUAGUAUCAGAUUGGAUUUUGCACCUGAGUCUAACAUCGUAGAAGGACCAUUUUGGUAUCAGAUUGGAUUUUGCACCUGAGUCUGACAUCGUAGAAGGACCAUUCUAGUAUCAGAUUGGAUUUUGCACCUGAGUCUGACAUCGUAGAAGGACCAUUCUGGUAUCAGAUUGUAAGGAUUUUGCACCUGAGUCUGACAUCGUAGAAGGACCAUUCUAGUAUCAGAUUG